RNAcentral lists this ribosomal RNA (587 nucleotides) under uncultured bacterium. RNAcentral's name for it is "bacterial SSU rRNA". It matches the Rfam family "Bacterial small subunit ribosomal RNA", at positions 8 to 590 of the family's 1533-position model. The record is from RNAcentral.
AGAGUUUGAUCCUGGCUCAGAUUGAACGCUGGCGGCAUGCCUUACACAUGCAAGUCGAACGGCAGCACGGACUUCGGUCUGGUGGCGAGUGGCGAACGGGUGAGUAAUAUAUCGGAACAUACCCUAGAGUGGGGGAUAACGUAGCGAAAGUUACGCUAAUACCGCAUACGCACUAAGGUGGAAAGUGGGGGAUCGCAAGACCUCAUGCUCAUGGAGUGGCCGAUAUCUGAUUAGCUAGUUGGUGAGGUAAAGGCUCACCAAGGCGACGAUCAGUAGCUGGUUUGAGAGAACGACCAGCCACACUGGAACUGAGACACGGUCCAGACUCCUACGGGAGGCAGCAGUGGGGAAUUUUGGACAAUGGGCGCAAGCCUGAUCCAGCAAUGCCGCGUGAGUGAAGAAGGCCUUCGGGUUGUAAAGCUCUUUUGUCAGGGAAGAAACGGUUGUUCCUAAUACGGAUGGCUAAUGACGGUACCUGAAGAAUAAGCACCGGCUAACUACGUGCCAGCAGCCGCGGUAAUACGUAGGGUGCAAGCGUUAAUCGGAAUUACUGGGCGUAAAACGUGCGCAGGCGGUUAUAUAAGUCA